GCUGCAAAGAAGAAAAAUGAAGGAUAACAGAACCUACCAGGUCCCUGCAGAGGCGCUGUGGGAGCGCGCUGGCCCAGUAAACAGAGACCAGUGGCUGUCACCCAUCACCAAGAGCUCACCCAGCUCGGCCUCAGAAGGAAGGGGGUGGUAAGACGCUGUACCAGGAACUGAAGAUAAAAUAUAGAUGGAAACACUAGAAAAAAGUCUCUGCAGAUCAAAUCAUCAGAAGUUAGGAAAAACUACAGGAGCCACUGUCAAGCCAGAUUUCUGUUCACAGGAUCAUCCUGCCAUCACCAGCUCAGCCAGCAAACUUUAGACAAAAUCAAGACCAAUGACUAGAUAAGAUAGCUCUACUGGGGAAAUCAAGGCAAAAAUCAAUAAAGAUGGGUAUUAAGUUCUAUCUGGAGAAGAAUGAAUCACUCCAUUCUUGAAUUUCCAUUGUGUUUGGCUGUUUCCUCUUAAGGGUAAUAAUAGAAAUACAGCAUGGACAUUAGCAUUACA
Long non-coding RNA from Talpa occidentalis (Iberian mole), 501 nucleotides. RefSeq lists it as uncharacterized. The record is from RefSeq and is a predicted model, not a curated record. The transcript is spliced from 3 exons. Lineage: Eukaryota; Metazoa; Chordata; Mammalia; Eulipotyphla; Talpidae.